Molecule: long non-coding RNA, 5295 nt
Organism: Mytilus californianus (California mussel)
Lineage: Eukaryota; Metazoa; Mollusca; Bivalvia; Mytilida; Mytilidae
Exons: 12
Source: RefSeq, a predicted model, not a curated record
AGUGGUCGUUUAUUAACUGUAGAAAAGUUGUUCGAAAAUUUGAAUUCGGUUCUACGUAAUGAACAUUUAAAUGACAUAUAGUUUACGAGUGUGAACAACUCUUAUGUACAUGUAACUAAACAAGGUGUAUAGAUGUGAACAAAUUUAAUGUGAAACUAGCGUACAUUACAUUAAACCAAAUGUUAACAUGUUUACUGUACACGACGUUUGGUGUGAACACGGCCUUAGUGAAUUAUUUAUUUUGUGAAUUUUUUUUAUAUCUACUUCUACUUAGAGUCUUAGGGUGAAUAUAUCCUUCUAGUCUGUGAUUCGAACAUUUAAAAAAAACGUGUCAUCACAAAUGACAAAUCAUGCAAAAUGGAUGAAACAAUUAUUUUGCUUUGAAUGACUUAAUUAAACUUAAUAUGCUUAAGUUUGUGUUAUUCAUUGUAUUCAAUUGCUCGGUAUGUUAAUUUUACUUACAGAUAAUACAGACGGUGACAGGCUCUAUGGUGUAUUGCUAAAUAGAAAGAUGAAUUGUCUAUUUUAAGCUUUCUAUUUUUAGACAUGUGUUAGAACUACAAUAUUACUACACACAAGAGCACUAUUUAUAGGGUGACCAGUGGGCACCGUUCAGCGUAACUAUUAUCCUUGUGCUUCAAUUCCCAGAAGGUCCUAACCCCCAAAAAAUGUACGGUGGAAACGUAAAAAAAAAAUAAUACCAACUUUGAACCCUUUCAAUCCCCAGAAGGUCCUAACCCCCAAAAAAUCAUUUCAGUGGGUCCUGCUCUGAUUCAUUACCUUUCAUUUGAGCUAUGUCCGGUGUCGAACUUUGCCGUACGGAGCUGGCGAGACUUGCCGAAAGAAUGUACGGUGGAAACGUAAAAAAAAAAAUAAUACCAACUUUGAACCCUUUCAAUCCCAAGAAAGUCCUAACCCCCAAAAAAUCAUUUCAGUGGGUCCUGCUCUGAUUCAUUACCUUUCAUUUGAGCUAUGUCCGGUGUCAAACUUUGCCGUACGGAGCUGGCGAGACUUGCCGAAAGAAUGUACGGUGGAAACGUAAAAAAAAAAUAAUACCAACUUUGAACCCCUUCAAUUCCCAGAAGGUCCUAACCCCCAAAAAAUCAUUUCAGUGGGUCCUGCUCUAAUUCAUUACCUUUCAUUUGAGCUAUGUCCGGUUACGAACUUUGCCGUACGGAGCUGGCGAGACUUGCCGAAAGAAUGUACGGUGGAAACGUAAAAAAAAAAUAAUACCAACUUUGAACCCUUUCAAUCCCCAGAAGGUCCUAACCCCCGAAAAAUCAUUUCAGUGGGUUCUGCUCUGAUUCAUUACCUUUCAUUUGAGCUAUGUCCGGUGUCGAACUUUGCCGUAUGGAGCUGGCGAGACUUGCCGAAAGAAUGUACGGUGGAAACGUAAAAAAAAAAUAAUACCAACUUUGAAUCCCUUCAAUUCCCAGAAGGUCCUAACCCCCAAAAAAUCAUUUCAGUAAGUCCUGCUCUGAUUCAUUACCUUUCAUUUGAGCUAUGUCCGUUGUCGAACUUUGCCGUACGGAGCUGGCGAGACUUGCCGAAAGAAUGUACGGUGGAAACGUAAAAAAAAAAUAAUACCAACUUUGAAUCCCUUCAAUUCCCAGAAGGUCCUAACCCCCAAAAAAUCAUUUCAGUGGGUCCUGCUCUGAUUCAUUACCUUUCAUUUGAGCUAUGUCCGGUGUCGAACUUUGCCGUACGGAGCUGGCGAGACUUGCCGAAAGAAUGUACGGUGGAAACGUAAAAAAAAAAUAAUACCAACUUUGAACCCUUUCAAUCCCCAGAAAGUCCUAACCCCCAAAAAAUCAUUUCAGUAGGUCCUGCUCUGAUUCAUUACCUUUCAUUUGAGCUAUGUCCGGUGUCGAACUUUGCCGUACGGAGCUGGCGAGACUUGCCGAAAGAAUGUACGGUGGAAACGUAAAAAAAAAAAUAAUACCAACUUUGAACCCUUUCAAUUCCCAGAAGGUCCUAACCCCCAAAAAAUCAUUUCAGUGGGUCCUGCUCUGAUUCAUUACCUUUCAUUUGAGCUAUGUCCGGUGUCGAACUUUGCCGUACGGAGCUGGCGAGACUUGCCGAAAGAAUGUACGGUGGAAACGUAAAAAAAAAAAUAAUACCAACUUUGAACCCUUUCAAUCCCCAGAAGGUCCUAACCCCCAAAAAAUCAUUUCAGUGGGUCCUGCUCUGAUUCAUUACCUUUCAUUUGAGCUAUGUCCGGUGUCGAACUUUGCCGUACGGAGCUGGCGAGACUUGCCGAAAGAAUGUACGGUGGAAACGUAAAAAAAAAAAUAAUACCAACUUUGAACCCUUUCAAUCCCCAGAAGGUCCUAACCCCCAAAAAAUCAUUUCAGUGGGUCCUGCUCUGAUUCAUUACCUUUCAUUUGAGCUAUGUCCGGUGUCGAACUUUGCCGUACGGAGCUGGCGAGACUUGCCGAAAGAAUGUACGGUGGAAACGUAAAAAAAAAAAUAAUACCAACUUUGAACCCUUUCAAUCCCCAGAAGGUCCUAACCCCCAAAAAAUCAUUUCAGUGGGUCCUGCUCUAAUUCAUUACCUUUCAUUUGAGCUAUGUCCGGUGUCGAACUUUGCCGUACGGAGCUGGCGAGACUUGCCGAAAGAAUGUACGGUGGAAACGUAAAAAAAAAAAUAAUACCAACUUUGAACCCUUUCAAUUCCCAGAAGGUCCUAACCCCCAAAAAAUCAUUUCAGUGGGUCCUGCUCUGAUUCAUUACCUUUCAUUUGAGCUAUAUCCGGUGUCGAACUUUGCCGUACGGAGCUGGCGAGACUUGCCGAAAGAAUGUACGGUGGAAACGUAAAAAAAAAAUAAUACAAACUUUGAACCCCUUCAAUUCCCAGAAGGUCCUAACCCCCAAAAAAUCAUUUCAGUGGGUCCUGCUCUGAUUUAUUACCUUUCAUUUGAGCUAUGUCCGGUGUCGAACUUUCCCGUACGGAGCUGGCGAGACUUGCCGAAAGAAUGUACGGUGGAAACGUAAAAAAAAAAUAAUACCAACUUUGAACCCUUUCAAUCCCCAGAAGGUCCUAACCCCCAAAAAAUCAUUUCAGUGGGUCCUGCUCUGAUUCAUUACCUUUCAUUUGAGCUAUGUCCGGUGUCGAAUUUUGCCGUACGGAGCUGGCGAGACUUGCCGAAAGAAUGUACGGUGGAAACGUAAAAAAAAAAAUAAUACCAACUUUGAACCCUUUCAAUCCCCAGAAAGUCCUAACCCCCAAAAAAUCAUUUCAAUAGGUCCUGCUCUGAUUCAUUACCUUUCAUUUGAGCUAUGUCCGGUGUCGAACUUUGCCGUACGGAGCUGGCGAGACUUGCCGAAAGAAUGUACGGUGGAAACGUAAAAAAAAAAAUAAUACCAACUUUGAACCCCUUCAAUUCCCAGAAGGUCCUAACCCCCAAAAAAUCAUUUCAGUGGGUCCUGCUCUGAUUUAUUACCUUUCAUUUGAGUUAUGUCCGGUGUCGAACUUUGCCGUACGGAGCUGGCGAGACUUGCCGAAAGAAUGUACGGUGGAAACGUAAAAAAAAAAUAAUACCAACUUUGAACCCUUUCAAUCCCCAGAAGGUCCUAACCCCCAAAAAAUCAUUUCAGUGGGUCCUGCUCUGAUUCAUUACCUUUCAUUUGAGCUAUGUCCGGUGUCGAACUUUGCCGUACGGAGCUGGCGAGACUUGCCGAAAGAAUGUACGGUGGAAACGUAAAAAAAAAAAUAAUACCAACUUUGAACCCUUUCAAUCCCCAGAAGGUCCUAACCCCCAAAAAAUCAUUUCAGUGGGUCCUGCUCUGAUUCAUUACCUUUCAUUUGAGCUAUGUCCGGUGUCGAACUUUGCCGUACGGAGCUGGCGAGACUUGCCGAAAGAAUGUACGGUGGAAACGUAAAAAAAAAAUAAUACCAACUUUGAACCCUUUCAAUCCCCAGAAAGUCCUAACCCCCAAAAAAUCAUUUCAGUAGGUCCUGCUCUGAUUCAUUACCUUUCAUUUGAGCUAUGUCCGGUGUCGAACUUUGCCGUACGGAGCUGGCGAGACUUGCCGAAAGAAUGUACGGUGGAAACGUAAAAAAAAAAUAAUACCAACUUUGAACCCCUUCAAUUCCCAGAAGGUCCUAACCCCCAAAAAAUCAUUUCAGUGGGUCCUGCUCUGAUUCAUUACCUUUUAUUUGAGCUAUGUCCGGUGUCGAACUUUGCCGUACGGAGCUGGCGAGACUUGCCGAAAGAAUGUACGGUGGAAACGUAAAAAAAAAAUAAUACCAACUUUGAACCCCUUCAAUUCCCAGAAGGUCCUAACCCCCAAAAAAUCAUUUCAGUGGGUCCUGCUCUGAUUCAUUACCUUUCAUUUGAGCUAUGUCCGGUGUCGAACUUUGCCGUACGGAGCUGGCGAGACUUGCCGAAAGAAUGUACGUUGGAAACGUAAAAAAAAAAUAAUACCAACUUUGAACCCCUUCAAUUCCCAGAAGGUCCUAACCCCCAAAAAAUCAUUUUAAGUGGGUCCUGCUCUGAUUCAUUACCUUUCAUUUGAGCUAUGUCCGGUGUCGAACUUUGCCGUACGGAGCUGGCGAGACUUGCCGAAAGAAUGUACGGUGGAAACGUAAAAAAAAAAAUAAUACCAACUUUGAACCCUUUCAAUUCCCAGAAGGUCCUAACCCCCAAAAAAUCAUUUCAGUAGGUCCUGCUCUGAUUCAUUACCUUUCAUUUGAGCUAUGUCCGGUGUCGAACUUUGCCGUACGGAGCUGGCGAGACUUGCCGAAAGAAUGUACGGUGGAAACGUAAAAAAAAAAUAAUACCAACUUUGAACCCCUUCAAUUCCCAGAAGGUCCUAACCCCCAAAAAAUCAUUUCAGUGGGUCCUGCUCUGAUUUAUUACCUUUCAUUUGAGCUAUGUCCGGUGUCGAACUUUGCCGUACGGAGCUGGCGAGACUUGCCGAAAGAAUGUACGGUGGAAACGUAAAAAAAAAAAUAAUACCAACUUUGAACCCUUUCAAUUCCCAGAAGGUCCUAACCCCCAAAAAAUCAUUUCAGUGGGUCCUGCUUUGAUUCAUUAUCUUUAAUUUGAGCUAUGUCCGGUGUCAAACUUUGCCGUACGGAGCUGGCGAGACUUGCCGAAAGAAUGUACGGUGGAAACGUAAAAAAAAAAAUAAUACCAACUUUGAACCCUUUCAAUCCCCAGAAAGUCCUAACCCCCAAAAAAUCAUUUCAGUAGGUCCUGCUCUGAUUCAUUACCUUUCAUUUGAGCUAUGUCCGGUGUCGAACUUUGCCGUACGGAGCUGGCGAGACUUGCCGAAAGAAUGUACGGUGGA